This 68-nucleotide transfer RNA is filed under the name Togoperla sp. KW-2014. RNAcentral describes it as "tRNA-Ile". Lineage: Eukaryota; Metazoa; Arthropoda; Insecta; Plecoptera; Perlidae. The record is from RNAcentral.
AAUGAGAUGCCUGAAAAAAAGGAUUAUCUUGAUAGGAUAAAUCAUGCAAAUUUAUUUUGCUCUCAUUA